UCACUUAGCGGCGGACGGGUGAGUAAUGCUUAGGAAUCUGCCUAUUAGUGGGGGACAACAUCUCGAAAGGGAUGCUAAUACCGCAUACGUCCUACGGGAGAAAGCAGGGGAUCACUUGUGACCUUGCGCUAAUAGAUGAGCCUAAGUCGGAUUAGCUAGUUGGUGGGGUAAAGGCCUACCAAGGCGACGAUCUGUAGCGGGUCUGAGAGGAUGAUCCGCCACACUGGGACUGAGACACGGCCCAGACUCCUACGGGAGGCAGCAGUGGGGAAUAUUGGACAAUGGGGGGAACCCUGAUCCAGCCAUGCCGCGUGUGUGAAGAAGGCCUUAUGGUUGUAAAGCACUUUAAGCGAGGAGGAGGCUCUUUUGGUUAAUACCCAAGAUGAGUGGACGUUACUCGCAGAAUAAGCACCGGCUAACUCUGUGCCAGCAGCCGCGGUAAUACAGAGGGUGCAAGCGUUAAUCGGAUUUACUGGGCGUAAAGCGCGCGUAGGCGGCCAAUUAAGUCAAAUGUGAAAUCCCCGAGCUUAACUUGGGAAUUGCAUUCGAUACUGGUUGGCUAGAGUGUGGGAGAGGAUGGUAGAAUUCCAGGUGUAGCGGUGAAAUGCGUAGAGAUCUGGAGGAAUACCGAUGGCGAAGGCAGCCAUCUGGCCUAACACUGACGCUGAGGUGCGAAAGCAUGGGGAGCAAACAGGAUUAGAUACCCUGGUAGUCCAUGCCGUAAACGAUGUCUACUAGCCGUUGGGGCCUUUGAGGCUUUAGUGGCGCAGCUAACGCGAUAAGUAGACCGCCUGGGGAGUACGGUCGCAAGACUAAAACUCAAAUGAAUUGACGGGGGCCCGCACAAGCGGUGGAGCAUGUGGUUUAAUUCGAUGCAACGCGAAGAACCUUACCUGGCCUUGACAUAGUAGAAACUUUCCAGAGAUGGAUUGGUGCCUUCGGGAAUCUACAUACAGGUGCUGCAUGGCUGUCGUCAGCUCGUGUCGUGAGAUGUUGGGUUAAGUCCCGCAACGAGCGCAACCCUUUUCCUUACUUGCCAGCAUUUCGGAUGGGAACUUUAAGGAUACUGCCAGUGACAAACUGGAGGAAGGCGGGGACGACGUCAAGUCAUCAUGGCCCUUACGGCCAGGGCUACACACGUGCUACAAUGGUCGGUACAAAGGGUUGCUACCUAGCGAUAGGAUGCUAAUCUCAAAAAGCCGAUCGUAGUCCGGAUUGGAGUCUGCAACUCGACUCCAUGAAGUCGGAAUCGCUAGUAAUUCGC
This 1264-nucleotide ribosomal RNA is filed under the name Acinetobacter sp. RNAcentral's name for it is "bacterial SSU rRNA". It matches the Rfam family "Bacterial small subunit ribosomal RNA", at positions 88 to 1346 of the family's 1533-position model. The record is from RNAcentral. Lineage: Bacteria; Pseudomonadati; Pseudomonadota; Gammaproteobacteria; Moraxellales; Moraxellaceae.